Molecule: ribosomal RNA, 495 nt
Filed under: uncultured bacterium
Lineage: Bacteria
Description: partial 16S ribosomal RNA
Rfam family: Bacterial small subunit ribosomal RNA
Source: RNAcentral
GACGAACGCUGGCGGCGUGCCUAAUACAUGCAAGUAGAACGCUGAAGGAGGAGCUUGCUUCUCUGGAUGAGUUGCGAACGGGUGAGUAACGCGUAGGUAACCUGCCUGGUAGCGGGGGAUAACUAUUGGAAACGAUAGCUAAUACCGCAUAAUAGCAGUUGUUACAUGACAACUGUUUGAAAGGUGCAAUUGCACCACUACCAGAUGGACCUGCGUUGUAUUAGCUAGUUGGUGGGGUAACGGCUCACCAAGGCGACGAUACAUAGCCGACCUGAGAGGGUGAUCGGCCACACUGGGACUGAGACACGGCCCAGACUCCUACGGGAGGCAGCAGUAGGGAAUCUUCGGCAAUGGACGGAAGUCUGACCGAGCAACGCCGCGUGAGUGAAGAAGGUUUUCGGAUCGUAAAGCUCUGUUGUAAGAGAAGAACGAGUGUGAGAGUGGAAAGUUCACACUGUGACGGUAUCUUACCAGAAAGGGACGGCUAACUACGUG